This 77-nucleotide transfer RNA is filed under the name Vulcanimicrobiota bacterium. Its description in RNAcentral is "tRNA-Pro". It matches the Rfam family "tRNA". Rfam says of the family: Transfer RNA (tRNA) molecules are approximately 80 nucleotides in length. Their secondary structure includes four short double-helical elements and three loops (D, anti-codon, and T loops). Further hydrogen bonds mediate the characteristic L-shaped molecular structure. tRNAs have two regions of fundamental functional importance: the anti-codon, which is responsible for specific mRNA codon recognition, and the 3' end, to which the tRNAs corresponding amino acid is attached (by aminoacyl-tRNA synthetases). tRNAs cope with the degeneracy of the genetic code in two manners: having more than one tRNA (with a specific anti-codon) for a particular amino acid; and 'wobble' base-pairing, i.e. permitting non-standard base-pairing at the 3rd anti-codon position. The record is from RNAcentral. Lineage: Bacteria; Bacillati; Vulcanimicrobiota.
CGGGCAGUGGCGCAGCUUGGUAGCGCACCAGUCUGGGGGACUGGGGGCCGCAGGUUCAAAUCCUGUCUGCCCGACCA